GGUACAUCGGUGACAGGUGGUGCAUGGUUGUCGUCAGCUCGUGUCGUGAGAUGUUGGUUAAGUCCCGCAACGAGCGCAACCCCUAUUGUUAGUUGCCAUCAUUCAGUUGGGCACUCUAGCGAGACUGCCGGUAAUAAACCGGAGGAAGGUGGGGAUGACGUCAAAUCAUCAUGCCCCUUAUGACCUGGGCUACACACGUGCUACAAUGGUUGGUACAACGAGUUGCGAGUCGGUGACGGCGAGCUAAUCUCUUAAAGCCAAUCUCAGUUCGGAUUGUAGGCUGCAACUCGCCUACAUGAAGUCGGAAUCGCUAGUAAUCGCGGAUCAGCACGCCGCGGUGGAUACGUUCCCGGGCCUU
This 358-nucleotide ribosomal RNA is filed under the name uncultured Streptococcus sp. Its description in RNAcentral is "bacterial SSU rRNA". It matches the Rfam family "Bacterial small subunit ribosomal RNA", at positions 1022 to 1382 of the family's 1533-position model. The record is from RNAcentral. Lineage: Bacteria; Bacillati; Bacillota; Bacilli; Lactobacillales; Streptococcaceae.